This is a non-coding RNA of Pelobates cultripes (western spadefoot toad), 463 nucleotides long. NCBI's taxonomy places the organism in Eukaryota, Metazoa, Chordata, Amphibia, Anura, Pelobatidae. The record is from the annotation of a GenBank genome assembly.
CUCCAUUGGAAUAAAACAGGGAAAUUCAUAAAUCCUGAACUGUUGGUGGUCCACGAGGACUGGGUUAAGGAACACUGGCAUACUAUCAAUGAGAGAACCUAUGAGGUUUUGCAAGACGCUGGACAUCCUCAACCCAAGUGUGUGGACAUUCAGCAUAAUUUCAGAGUGUUAUACUCCAUGAAACAGCAUGAGGCACCUCUAGUUUCUCUAGAACUGCUUUUGAGCUGCAGGUAUAAGGGGACAGGGACACUUCAACCAGACCACAUCAAUGAGAUGAAGUGGCCUUUGUGCCUAUAGUUUCCCUUUAAUUUAAAUGUACAAUUGCUUAUGUUUUUUAUCUGCACUUCUAAAUAGCCUAGAACAGUGAUGGCAAGCCUUUUUGAGCCAGAAUGCCCAAACCGCAAUAUAUGCCAACAUUUUUUCCUCAAAGUGCCAACAUGGCAAUUAAACCUGAAUACUGAGG